GGCAAGCACCUAAAUAUUAAGGGUUGACCUUGAUCAGGGCCUUGGAUGCCGACCUGCAGGCCGCACGAGGCUUACCCCCUCCACCCUUGCAGCACCCCCAUGGAGGGAGCCGUGCUACUUCUGCCAUUUUAGAGAUCCCUUGUCCAAGGCCGCCCAGCUCCCACCCAAGCCCUGAACUCAGGCAGCGGGAUUCCAAGGCGUCUUCAGAACUCACCACUACCGUGUCCCAUCAGAGGAAAAUGACUUUAAGAGGCCAUAGAGUUCUUUUCUUCAUGGAGCGACUCAAAGGACUAAUGUUGCAGGGAACUCACUUCUGGAAACACCGUUCUAGCUCAUUGAUGCUCGGCUUGUAGGCGAGGAAAUGAAGACCCAGGGAGAUACUCAAAUCCUCUAGCCGUGUGUUUUCCUCCUAUUGAUGCAGCUAGUGGACCCGGGGACUCAGACACUCGUCAAAAGAAAGACCAGCUCAUGACUGACCCCACCGUCAAGGUCAUACUGCAAUGAAUUUCUCUUUUCCAACCAAAAGCACUGGGAGGCUAAGUUCAGAAAGAAUCCCUUUUCCUUAAGAAUUCCCCUGAAGUCCCCCUUCCUCAUGGGCUCCCCAACAAUGGUAGUAUUGAGGGCCAAAGUUGACAUCCUGUGUCUCCUUUUCCCCCGAGGAACCUUUGGAAUGGGGGCAGGUUCCAUCUACUGAGGCUGAUGUGAUGUGGAAUCAGGAUCAGGUUCAUGUCCACAAGCUCGCGUGGCAAGCACUGCUAUGAUGCCCGUCUGCAGAUGAGGAAACUGAGACACGAGCAUCAAAUAAGUUGCACGAGGCCACAGAACUACCCCGUCUCAGAACGCGCUCUGUAAUGACUGGAAAGACAGAAAAAACCAACUCUUCCUUUUCAAAAGACAGCACAGGCUCUGAUGCUGUUGAUCAGAAACAAAGCCACGAGCAUGGAGAAUUAUUGUGUGGAGCCCUCACCUGCCCCCGGCUCUGAUGUUGGCACAGGAUUGGGAGAGCACAUUACCAAUUAGAAGAAGUUCAUUUAGCUGAGAAGGCCGAGGGAAGAGCUAUUAGUGGGCUAAAAGUCAGAGAUGGAUCUCAGGCAUAAAAGCUACAGAAAAAUGGCACUUUGGAUUGUGGAUCACCUUCCUGCUGUCUUCAUUAGAGAAAGUCCUUAACCAUGUAUGGGGUGUCUGAUAAAAGACAACAUUUGAGCGGCAUUUUACAGGCUGCAAAUGCUUUCACAUACAGGGUCUCGAUUAUAACCCAUCACGACCUCUACAGGUGAGGUUGGCUAAUGGCCCACAGAUCUAGCAAGCAACCAAACCCAAGUUGCAUGCCCAAGGCAUUGGAAGUAUUUCUUUUUCAUAAAUCUGGCUCUGGGAAAGAAGGUUCUCCCAAGUGGAAAUUUGUUGGAGAAAAUAUUGUAUAG
Canis lupus familiaris (dog) is the source of this 1421-nucleotide long non-coding RNA. RefSeq lists it as uncharacterized. Lineage: Eukaryota; Metazoa; Chordata; Mammalia; Carnivora; Canidae. The transcript has 7 exons. The record is from RefSeq and is a predicted model, not a curated record.